AGAUCGGCUGCCUAUAGGCUAUAUCCCGGUCAUGGUGGGUUUCGAUUUUUGUUUGUUACUUUCGCAUCGUUCGGUGCAUUCUGGGGGCUGUUUUGGCUUUUGGUUGCUUGCUCAAGACCGUUUGGUUGGGUGGGUGGCUACUAGUUUGGCGGCUUUCGGGAUUCGACCGGGGAGGUGCAUGAGUGGUGUUUGGUUUGUUACGUGUGGAUGGCUGUUUGCUUGCGCACCAACGUCCACGCUGCAUACCUCUUCAGUUUUGCGGCAAGACCCGGUUUGUCUUGAGCAUAUUGUGGGUUUCCUGUGUUGCAUACCUAACUGAUGGUAACGUGUGGGUUUUAUGAUUUUCCUUUUCGUCAUGCGUCGGUCAUGCGGCGUGGGAUGAACAAUUAAGUGGUCUUUGUGAUCCAUCGUGUUGUUGCGUUUGCAACAAUGAUGUGGUUUAUGAAGCAUC
Molecule: unclassified non-coding RNA, 451 nt
Filed under: Centaurea napulifera
Lineage: Eukaryota; Viridiplantae; Streptophyta; Magnoliopsida; Asterales; Asteraceae
Description: partial external transcribed spacer
Source: RNAcentral